Molecule: non-coding RNA, 2377 nt
Organism: Monodelphis domestica (gray short-tailed opossum)
Lineage: Eukaryota; Metazoa; Chordata; Mammalia; Didelphimorphia; Didelphidae
Source: RefSeq, a predicted model, not a curated record
AUCACUCUAUUGUAAAUAUUAAUAAUAUGGAAAUAGAUCUUGAUCAAUGAUAUGAGUAAAACCCAAUGGAAUUGCUCGUUGGCUAUGGGAGUGGGGAGGGAGGAGGCGAAGGAAAGAACAUGAAUCAUGUAACCAUGGAAAAUAUUCUAAAUUAAUUAAACUGUUUAAUUUAAAAUUUUUUAUUUAUUUUAUUCUGUUUUAGUAGUAUUUAUUUUCUAUAUACACAACUCCACUGGGAAUGUUGCUGCAGAUUUCACAUUUUAUCUGCUGAUUUUUGAAUGAUAGUCAUGUCUUUACACUGACUUGUAUUUUGUAGUUUCAGAAGAUGGAGGAGUGCAUACACUCACUCUUGACUGAGAAAAAAAAAACUGAAAUAUUCCUACUAUCCAUGAUUUCAAUUUAGAAGAAUUCUGGUAGAACAUAGAAACUAUGAGUGCCCUCUCAUAUAACAGAAGUGAUUUUUUAAAGAAAAAAUGAAAUAAGAGGAAGAGAAAAAAUAAUCAAAACUAAAAAACAUGGAAAAAGUAUGAAAAUAUAUGCAUGAGUAAAAUGAGCUGGAAAAGGAAACAGCAAGCCACUUCAGUGUCUUUGCCAAGAAAACCCCAAGAUGGGGCCAGGAAGAGUAGGACAUGACUGAAAAAGAUAUAGCAACAAUACCCAGACCUAUCACAGGACCUAGAAGCUUCAACAUUAAAGGACUAGAAGGCAUUGAAUAUACUCUUCUUCAAGGUAAAGGAUCUAGGAAUACAACCAAGAAUCAUCUACCCAGCCAAACAGAGCAUAAUACUCCAGGGGAAGAAAUUUAUACUUAAAGCAAUAGGACUGCUGAUUCCUGAUGAUAAGAUUAGAACUGAAUAGAAAAAUUGAUGAUCAAAUUAGCAGUUCAAAUAAGCAUAAAAAGGUAAAAAAAAGAGAAAACUAAGCUCAAUGGGUUUAAAAAAAGUACAUUCCUACAUAAGAAAGUGAUAAUCAUGAUACUUAAGAUCUCUAUGUUACAAGAGAUACUUAUGGUACUUAAGAUACUUAAAGUACUCAAGGAAUCAAUGGGGUUAAACUUACCAGAUAGGAAGGUGUAAUAAAAAGGAUAAUCUAGGAGAUAUUUCUAGUUAUAAUAAAGGAGAUACUGGGGUUGCCUAUAGUAAUAAAGAAUAUACUUGGAGAUAGAGAUAUUUCUGAGAGAUAGAGAGAUACAAAGGUAAUAGCUAAGAUACUUAAGGUACUUAUGAAAUGUAAUAUUUGUAAAGUACUUAAAGUACAUAAGAUAACUCAAGUACUCAAGAGAAUCAGUAAAUUCAAACAGCUUAUAUUACUAUAUGAGAAGGCAAUAAUGAAGAAACUUAAGAUAACUAUGAUACUUGAGAUACUCUAAAUAUCUUAAACUGGAAAUGCUUUAGAAGUUUUUCACUAUUAGGGAAAUGAAUAGGGACAUAUAAAGAGUGCAAAGAGUAAGAUGAAAAGGAUGGGAUGAUAUUUCCCUUACAAAAACAAACAAACAAACGAAUAAGAGCUAUGAAAGAGGAACUGAAAAAGAGAAAAGGAGAGACAGUUGGAAGUAAAUCAAUUGACUUGAAGUAUAUCAGAGUCAAUACAGUGUUCUUAUUCAAUUUUUUAAAUUGUAUGCCCAGUUCAUUGAUCUGUUCUUAUUUUAUUGAUAUGUUUAGAGAAAUAAAUUUUCCUCUAAUUAUGGUUUUUGCUGUAUCCCAAAGGCUUUAGCUGGUGGUCUCAUUAUUAUCAUUUUUAAAAUGAAAUUGUUUGUUGUUUCUAUGACUUGUUCUUUAACACACUCAUUCUUUAAGAUUGUUAUUUAGACUCAAAUUAAUGUUUGUUCUGUUUCCAUGAUCCCUUAUUAAAUACAUUUUAUUACAUUAUGACUUCAAAAGGAAGCAUUUAACAUUUCUGGUUUUUUGUUUUUUACUAUAAAAAUUUUGUGUCUUAAUAUAUGAUCAGUUUUUGUACGGGUACUGUUUACCAUUGAAAAAAAGGUACAUUCCUUUGUAUUACAGUUCAGUUCUUUCCAAAUAGUCAUCAUAUAUAGCUAAUCUAAGAUUCUAUUUAUCUCCUUGACUUCUUUCUUAUUUAUUUUUUGGUUAGAUUUAUCUAGUUCUGAGAGAAGAAGCUUAAAGUGACCUACUAUCAUACUUUUAUUAUCUAUUUCCACCUGUAACUUCUUUAGCUUUUGCUUUAAUUUGCUUCUUAUUGGUUCAGCAUUGAAAAUGUUUUAUUAUCUGUUACAUUUUAACAUAAUACAGUUUCAUUGUUUAUCUCAUUUAAUUAGAUUUAGUUUAGCUUUAGUUUUUUUGAGGUCAUUAUUGCUACCCUUGAUUUUUUUUGUCAACUGUAGCAUAAUAUAUUUUACUCCAUCCUUUUAUUUUUACUC